RNAcentral lists this ribosomal RNA (198 nucleotides) under uncultured bacterium. Its description in RNAcentral is "partial 16S ribosomal RNA". It matches the Rfam family "Bacterial small subunit ribosomal RNA", at positions 326 to 539 of the family's 1533-position model. The record is from RNAcentral.
ACGCUCGACACCUACGGGAUGCAGCAGUGGGGAAUAUUGCACAAUGGAGGAAACUCUGAUGCAGCGAUGCCGCGUGAGGGAAGAAGGUUUUCGGAUUGUAAACCUCUGUCUUUGGGGACGAUAAUGACGGUACCCAAGGAGGAAGCUCCGGCUAACUACGUGUCAGCAGCCGCGGUAAUCUGAGCGGGCUGGCAAGGC